AGAGAGUACAAUGGUGGUUACCAGAGA
Molecule: non-coding RNA, 27 nt
Filed under: Homo sapiens (human)
Lineage: Eukaryota; Metazoa; Chordata; Mammalia; Primates; Hominidae
Source: RNAcentral